Molecule: long non-coding RNA, 2153 nt
Organism: Astatotilapia calliptera (eastern happy)
Lineage: Eukaryota; Metazoa; Chordata; Actinopteri; Cichliformes; Cichlidae
Source: Ensembl
CGGAGGGCAGGUGGGUGAGUAGAGUGAACUGGAGCCUAUGAAGCAACAAGAUGAAGGUGAGUAUUGUCACGGAUGGAGUUAGCUGAAAGGCUGUAGAAACAAACAAAAGGUCAGUUGCUUUCUGUGGGAAACUCUUCUCAACAAAAGUGUGGUGGUCAGCACUAACUGUGGCUAGCAGAACACUUGGCAAGGACUAGUGGUGACGUGAGCGGUGGUGAGUCUUAAAAGCCGGCAGCAUAAUUGCUUGCAGUUGUGGAGACGCGCCAGAGUGCAGCCACUCCGCCCACAGGUGGAGACAGCAACUCAGAUGAAGACCCCAGCACUCACCCAGACCAUGACACUUGUGCUGUAUUCCACAACUGCUCUUGACGUGGUUGCUGGUGUUUGACACUAAUUCAUGGAGUGGACGUUGAUUGCUAAAAACAGCCUUAGAGAGUUUUCACUUGUGUUGUAAUUCUUAUACCUCUAAGGACAGCAAGAAAUCCUGCUGCAGACCAAACACACCAGUAAGCCCACAGCAGCAGUGAAAGGAAAGAAAUCUAUUCUUGCAUUUUUAAAAUCUCUCUUUUUACUACCAACUUUUACUGCCUUGGAUAUGGGAUCCAUCACAACUAUCAAUUUGUCUUUUCUUAUAAUUGACAAUUAGCAAAAUGUAAGGAGUAAGGUACCAAGUGACGAUGCAUGUCAGUAAAUAAAAAAGGAAAUGUUGAAAUAAAAUUUUAAAACAUGUUUAUCGCUCUUUAAACAUUCAUCAAAACUUUGGAAAACCACUGGAAAUGGGCAAAGGAGCUCUCGAGCUGCAGGUCUAAGACCUUUGCUCUAGUCAUCAUAGGUGGUAACACAAUUUAUGAAACAAAGUAUUAGAAAUAUAAACCAGUGUCAAGUGUAUGCAUUAUCUGUUGACAGUUUGUGUGCGUGUCCAGUGUGUUCUGCAACAGUGUUACUGUUGUAGACUUUAACCACAAAAUGCAGAAGGAAAUAUCUGAGGUCCUCUGUGCUAAACGUUCAUCACCUCAACCUCAGAGAACAUAAUGAAAUUGGAAAUUAAGCAAAAUAUUUCUGAACAACUACUAAAGUUUAAACAUGAGCCACUAAUCAUGAAGAAGUAAAGAAUUUGAGGCUGUGCUAACAUCAGUUUUACUGUAGAGGGCAGUGUUGGGCUGUACAUAGGAGCCCUUGAGCAGUUUAUUCUUAUAAAUGUGAGAAAAGGUGGCUACUGGGUAUAGCAUUCAAAAACUAUCAAUUUGUAACAAUCAGCAUUAUGGACUUGAUUAGAUUAUGGUCUUAUGGUCCUUUGACAUCUGCAGCCAUACAAUACAGUUGCAGUAACAGCAGCAAUAGUAUAAUGAACAGAUUGAUAUGCAGCUUUGAAGUGAACAUGUCUCAUUUUGGAAAUGCAUGUUCACUCAGCUGCUUUGUAUUUUUAUGUCUUCAUUGCCUCAUCUACUUGCAUCUAUCAUCCAGGGAAGAAGGAUUUUUAUAAUCGAGUGGUUGCAUGCUUGUGUUUUAAUGUUGAGUGUAUUUUAGUGUUGCAUGCUUUUAUUGUAUUUAUUUGGACUUCUCCCGGAGAGACUCCCCCCCCCCCCUCUGCUUCCCCAAUGAGAUACACCUGGAGGGCACAGGGGACAGGAAUCAAUCGGGCCUCCCUUGUUGGCAGCGGGCAAUAAGAGCCUCUGGCAGGUGAGAGAAGGACGUGUGUACGCAGGGCAGCAGGAGAGCCGGAGUAGCGUGGCUGUGCGGGAGGACGCCGCCAAAGGUAGCGCGAGCAACGGAGCGGCAACUGGCGGCAAGGCGCGGCAGCAGUAGAAGGAGAGCGGGCCUUCAGUCAGUGGACGGCAGCCCCUUCCACGGUGGCAGCGAGACGUCAGUGAAUGGUUAAGGCACGGAACAGCGGCGGGCGGAGUUCAGAGCUCUGCCCUCCCGGUGGAACCUCAAGCGGAGCAGCGAGGCGACAACAGAGGACGCGGUUGGCCUGGUUCCCACUGGUGGAAUCGGCGGAUUCUUCAUGGCUGAAGUGUGGCGGAGCCUGACUCGGAACUUUGGGACUGAGCACCAUUAUUUUUUUAUUGUGCUGAGUUUUAUGUUUUUUCUCUCUCCCCUGAUCAGGGUAUUUUUAGUGUUGUAAAUAAAGCGUAUUUAAUUUUUAUUGACUA